This 916-nucleotide ribosomal RNA is filed under the name Periconia macrospinosa. Its description in RNAcentral is "partial large subunit ribosomal RNA". It matches the Rfam family "Eukaryotic large subunit ribosomal RNA", at positions 47 to 977 of the family's 3401-position model. The record is from RNAcentral. Lineage: Eukaryota; Fungi; Ascomycota; Dothideomycetes; Pleosporales; Periconiaceae.
UAAGCGGAGGAAAAAGAAACCAAACAGGGAUUGCCCNUAGUAACGGCGAGUGAAGCGGCAACAGCUCAAAUUUGAAAUCUGGCCCCUUUGGGGUCCGAGUUGUAAUUUGCAGAGGGUGCUUUGGCGUUGGCGGCGGUCUAAGUUCCUUGGAACAGGACAUCGCAGAGGGUGAGAAUCCCGUAUGUGGUCGCAUGCCUUCGCCGUGUAAAGCCCCUUCGACGAGUCGAGUUGUUUGGGAAUGCAGCUCUAAAUGGGAGGUAAAUUUCUUCUAAAGCUAAAUACCGGCCAGAGACCGAUAGCGCACAAGUAGAGUGAUCGAAAGAUGAAAAGCACUUUGGAAAGAGAGUCAAACAGCACGUGAAAUUGUUGAAAGGGAAGCGCUUGCAGCCAGACUUGCCUGUAGUUGCUCACCCGGGCUCCUGCCCGGGGCACUCUUCUGCAGGCAGGCCAGCAUCAGUUUGGGCGGUCGGAUAAAGGGCUCUGACACGUACUUCCCCUCGGGGUUGACAUACAGGGGAGCCGCAAUGCGACCAGCCCGGACUGAGGUCCGCGCAUCUGCUAGGAUGCUGGCGUAAUGGCUGUAAGCGGCCCGUCUUGAAACACGGACCAAGGAGUCUAACAUCUAUGCGAGUGUUUGGGUGUCAAGCCCGAGCGCGCAAUGAAAGUGAACGGAGGUGGGAGCCCCUCGGGGUGCACCAUCGACCGAUCCUGAUGUCUUCGGAUGGAUUUGAGUAAGAGCAUAGCUGUUGGGACCCGAAAGAUGGUGAACUAUGCUUGAAUAGGGUGAAGCCAGAGGAAACUCUGGUGGAGGCUCGCAGCGGUUCUGACGUGCAAAUCGAUCGUCAAAUUUGGGCAUAGGGGCGAAAGACUAAUCGAACUAUCUAGUAGCUGGUUCCUGCCGAAGUUUCCCCUCAGG